AAAAAAAAAAAAAAAAAACUCAAUAGUUCCUUCUGUUAGUUAUGUGUGCCCUAGAACAUGCAUUAAUCUUGUAACUUGUAAAAAACAUUGUAAAUAUUAUAAUGGCAAUGAACGUUUCAUUUAAAUGUUAUAUGUAUUUAGUACCAUAUUUAUUUGAAAUUGUCCAUUAGCAAUAUGUUAUGUGUUCUAUUCUUAUGAGAUAAGAAUAUGAGUGCCAGAAUACAUGGGACAUUUGUUAUAAAUCAGAGUUCGCAGCUAAAGGAUAUUUUGGUGGGCACAUUAUAUUCAAAGAGCUGUCACCUCUUUUUUUAUCUCCAUUGAUCAUUAUGAGAUACUGAUGAAUAUGGAAUGGUGAGCCUCAUGCCAUCUGAUAUGAGAUAUCGGGAU
This 387-nucleotide unclassified non-coding RNA is filed under the name Hevea brasiliensis (rubber tree). The record is from RNAcentral. Lineage: Eukaryota; Viridiplantae; Streptophyta; Magnoliopsida; Malpighiales; Euphorbiaceae.